GACAUCAAAAAACAUCAAUAAAUGUCAUAGUAUAGUAAGACAUCAAAAACCACCAAAAAAUGUCAUUGUAUAGUCAGGCUUUAAAAAUUGACAAAAAAUGUCAUAGUAUAGUAAGACAUCAAAAACCAUCAAAAAAUGUCAUAGCAUAGUAAGGUGUCAAAAAUUGACAAAAAAUUUUAUAGUAUCGUAAGGUGUCAAAAAUAGACCAAAAUGCCAUAUUAUAUUAAGACAUCAAAAAAUGUCAUAGUAUAGUAAGACAACAAAAAUUGACAAAAAAUGUCAUAGUAUAGUGAGGCAUCAAAACUUGACAAAAAAUGUCAUAGUAUAGUAAGGCAUCAAAAAUUGACAAAAAUGUCAUAGUAUAGUAAGACAUCAAAAACCACCAAAAAAUGUCAUUGUAUAGUCAGGCUUUAAAAAUUGACAAAAAAUGUCAUAGUAUAGUAAGACAUCAAAAACCAUCAAAAAAUGUCAUAGCAUAGUAAGGUGUCAAAAAUUGACAAAAAAUUUUAUAGUAUCGUAAGGUGUCAAAAAUAGACCAAAAUGCCAUAUUAUAUUAAGACAUCAAAAAAUGUCAUAGUAUAGUAAGACAACAAAAAUUGACAAAAAAUGUCAUAGUAUAGUGAGGCAUCAAAACUUGACAAAAAAUGUCAUAGUAUAGUAAGGCAUCAAAAAUUGACAAAAAUGUCAUAGUAUAGUAAGACAUCAAAAACCACCAAAAAAUGUCAUUGUAUAGUCAGGCUUUAAAAAUUGACAAAAAAUGUCAUAGUAUAGUAAGACAUCAAAAACCAUCAAAAAAUGUCAUAGCAUAGUAAGGUGUCAAAAAUUGACAAAAAAUUUUAUAGUAUCGUAAGGUGUCAAAAAUAGACCAAAAUGCCAUAUUAUAUUAAGACAUCAAAAAAUGUCAUAGUAUAGUAAGAAAACAAAAAUUGACAAAAAAUGUCAUAGUAUAGUGAGGCA
Lates calcarifer (barramundi perch) is the source of this 957-nucleotide long non-coding RNA. RefSeq lists it as uncharacterized. Lineage: Eukaryota; Metazoa; Chordata; Actinopteri; Centropomidae. The record is from RefSeq and is a predicted model, not a curated record. The transcript is spliced from 3 exons.